GCCAGGCGGACCAACACCGCUAAAUGACAGAAUUAACCUCACUCUUGGCGCUAAGCUAGCUACUUACUCUUGGCCAUUUCUAGAAAACGCCCAUUUCCAGUAUCUUAGGAGAGGUCAUUUUAGGCAUUUGGUAAAAAGACAGGGGCAUAAUUAUCAUUCGAUUAGAUCGAAGGCAAACCUUACCAGAAAAGGGGGAUACCGGAGGA
RNAcentral lists this unclassified non-coding RNA (206 nucleotides) under Hevea brasiliensis (rubber tree). The record is from RNAcentral. Lineage: Eukaryota; Viridiplantae; Streptophyta; Magnoliopsida; Malpighiales; Euphorbiaceae.